CCUACGGGUGGCAGCAGUGGGGAAUAUUGGGCAAUGGAGGCAACUCUGACCCAGCAACGCCGCGUGAAUGAUGAAGGUCUUCGGAUUGUAAAGUUCUUUUCUAAGGGAAGAAGAAAGUGACUGUACCUUAGGUAUAAGCCUCGUCUAACUACGUGCCAGCAGCCGCUGUAAUACGUAGGAGGCAAGCGUUAUCCGGAAUGACUGGGCGUAGAGGGUGCGUAGGUGGUUCAGCAAGUUAGUAGCGUAACUCCGGGGCUCAACCUAGGCACUACUACUAAAACUGUUGGACUUGAGUGCAGGAGGGGAAAGUGGAAUUCCUAGUGUAGCGGUGGAAUGCGUAGAUAUUAGGAGGAACACCAGUGGCGAAGGCGAGUUGCUGGACUGUAACUGACACUGAGGCACGAAAGCGUGGGGAGCAAACAGGAUUAGAUACCCUGGUAGUC
This 443-nucleotide ribosomal RNA is filed under the name uncultured bacterium. RNAcentral describes it as "partial 16S ribosomal RNA". It matches the Rfam family "Bacterial small subunit ribosomal RNA", at positions 338 to 795 of the family's 1533-position model. The record is from RNAcentral.